RNAcentral lists this unclassified non-coding RNA (239 nucleotides) under Hevea brasiliensis (rubber tree). The record is from RNAcentral. Lineage: Eukaryota; Viridiplantae; Streptophyta; Magnoliopsida; Malpighiales; Euphorbiaceae.
ACAUGCUAGUUAUCUACAAUUGCAUUCCCUAAAACUAUUAGCAUGACCAAGUCAUUUGAAUUGUUUAUAACUAAACAAAAGAGUUAACAAAAUAAUAUCUUGCUUUAGUCAUUAAUCAUAGUUCAGAAUGUUACAAGGAAGACCUAGAUUACAAAACUACUAGCUAACCUGAGAAAAGCCUAGGCCCUGUUCAACAACAGUUUUUAAGAUAGCAUUUAGUGUUUUGACCUUAGUCAAAA